GGCAGGCCGUGCCGUGCUGGUGCCGGUCCCGGUCUUCAAAACCGAUGGAGCGCCUCGGAAGGGGACGCUCGGUGAGUUCGAUUCUCAUGGCCUGCCGCCA
RNAcentral lists this transfer RNA (100 nucleotides) under Deltaproteobacteria bacterium. RNAcentral's name for it is "tRNA-Sec". It matches the Rfam family "Selenocysteine transfer RNA". Lineage: Bacteria; Pseudomonadati; Myxococcota; Myxococcia. The record is from RNAcentral.